Molecule: long non-coding RNA, 1244 nt
Organism: Thalassophryne amazonica
Lineage: Eukaryota; Metazoa; Chordata; Actinopteri; Batrachoidiformes; Batrachoididae
Exons: 2
Source: RefSeq, a predicted model, not a curated record
CUAUCCAUAGCAGUUUUUGUCAUUCAUUGUUCAGUAAACUGCAACAAAAAAGCAGUUCAACCAUAGACUUAAUGCCUAGACUAUGAACAUUACUGAUGGCCGAGCUGGAAAACGACCAGAGGCCAAGGGGAGGCCCACAUGUCACCUGGCUGUGGUGGAUGCUAUACAAAUCAUGAAUGUUUAUGAGUGCAAUGGUAGCAAAGGUAACUCGGUAACUCGGCUGGGCCUCGUUGAAUGGAACAUUCCAUCUUUCACCUCAUGAAAUAUUUGUUCCAUUGAAUGAAUGAAAAACAUUCAUUAUUUGUUUUAUAUAACACCUAAAAUAGAUCCUUGUCAAUUGAUAUUUUAUUAAUUUAUAAACAAGAGAAAAGGGAGUUGCGCCCUUCUUGAUGCUACAGUGUCUGCCAUGGCUCGGUAGUGAGACCUAGAUGCCCCGUGUCACCCAGGUGUCAUCUGACAGAGCCCGCUGUUGCCCAGUGCCCCCCCUUGCAAGCCCAGAACUACACAGCACUGCCUCCAGCAAACACUGCUUUCUCAGGACUCCCCUGACUCGCUUUCAAGCCCCCUCGGCGGAUCUAGCCUCCCUGUCUGUUACCCAGUGAGCCUGAGCGCUGGGCUGCUGUUUGUUUUAAAGUGUCAUCGCUGCUAGUGUGAGCGCACGGCGGUGUAUAAUAGCACAAAAUGUAUAGAACCAAAAUUGGAUGGUAAAUGGAACACAACGGCAAAUGGUACAAGGAAUCCAUAUCACGUGACAUACAAACCACCAAUCAAAUGACAAGGAUGUAUUCAGGUGUUAUAUAAACUGCUACUGUUGGGAGGUGGGGAUGGACCGGUGGUCUGUCUAGAUGGAUCCAGAGCAGUACUGUCACGUGGUGGAUGCAAUGCCAUGUGCUGCCAGUGCUUGCUCCCAGACCUGACCUUCUCCACUGAGUGAACAAAGUCAUCAUUAUUCAUCAUUAUAUCAUCAUUAUUUGCUAAUGUGGUAUUGGGGAUGGUGAGAAAACAGAAUGUGACACAUCCACAGGUAAGAAAUGAACCUCAUGGGUUAAGGCAGGAGGCUGUGCUGUAUCUGCGGUGGCUGUGAUUCCCAUGGCAACAAUCCUUUGAAUUUAUUGUUGUUAGGAGCUAUUUCUUGAGGAGCUAUCAGUUCAUAAGAGCUCACAGUGUACUAGACAACUAUCGGUAUAGUUAGGGAAAAUAAUUCACAUUUUUUCACACACACACAAAAAAAAAAAAAAAAGAAA